GUUAGUUUUCCAAAAAGAGUCAAGUGAAGGACUAGAGGUUCCUCAAGUCCAACCAUGUUCAGACAUAUACCUGCUUCUUGGCCUAGGUGCUGCUAUUUAGAAUCCUCUUUACUGGGGCAGUGGUCCAAGGUACUAUUUAGGUGUCUCUGCCAUCGUGGGAAACCUUGACUAAGACACCUUUCUUCACUGGCUCACACUUAGGUCACCUCCCUUCCCUCCUCAAGCCCCUCAGGUGGAUAAAAAGACAGGGGCUGUUUGUUUGGGGGUCAUGGUCAGUUAGAGGAUGCCUCUUGUCUGUCUGCAGCACAUGUCACUGAACCCUUGCCUUGCUGUUCUGUGUGAAGACAUGGAACCCUGGGAAACUGGCAUCUAUUUUUGCCUCCUGAAGUGCUGUUACAGUGAGUCAACAGGCUUGUCUGUUGCCUUUAGUUUGGCUUGUUGUCCUAAUUGACCACUUUGACAGCUGAGAGUUCCACAUAGCUCACAACUCUUCCCUUUUCCUUUAGUGGCUUUUCUUAAACAACAUUCUUUUUAUGAAACUAAUGACCAAGUAACAUAGACAUUUUUAAAUACUGUGAAUUUUAUAAUGAAGAAAGUAUCCUCUUAGAAUACAGAUAAAAAUACUGGCUAUAUGUAUACUCAUAUUUAUAGACAAAGCAAAGAAGAAAAGUCUAUUUUAAAAUAAUACCACAUAAAAUAAUCAUGAUAACCAUACAGAGAUUCAUGAUAUCUCAUUGAUGCUACUAAUGCAGUAUUUCCUAUGUUCAAAAUUGUUGGGUUUUGGUUUCCAUUAUUACUGUAUUUUAAAAUAUGUAGCUUUAUAUAAUAACAAUGUCAUAUUCAUAUGCUAACAAUUAAUAUAAUGUAAAUGCUGAACCUUUCCUCCUGACACUUUAGGCAUUAAAUUAAUCUCUUGAGAAAGAAGUUGUUAUUCAGGCUACAUUAGUAGAGACUGAUAUUAUGUGCAGGAAAACAAAGUUUCAUUGUUUAACAGAUGCCUAAUUAGGGAGUUGAGCACUUGAAUCAAGUGAGGCAUGGAAAUGGAUUAUACAGCAUUUACAUGUGGAGCCCAUUAUUUAUCAAUAAGAGUAAUAAAUGCUGCUUUAAAGGGAAACUCACCAAAGCUUAGUUGAACUUUGAGCUUCUAAUUUUUCCCUUUCUUCUUUGAUAAUUUAAAUUACAGUACAUAACUUUGCCAUUAUAGCUUCUGUUAAGUUAAAUAAUUGAUUAGUUAUCCCAAUGAAAAGACUCAGCGACCAUAAAACUUGAAUCUUGUAAAGCUUUAUUUUCAGAAACACACCACAGAUUGUUAAAUUUAACAAAGAAUCUGUGAAAUACUGAUGAAAUAAAGCAAGAAUUCAGGCACUGCAAAAUUCCACAGAUGAGCUGAGUUAGGAAGAUGGCAUUGGUAGAAAUGAAAUAUUUUAUAGGAAAACAGCUGCUUCGCAUAAC
RNAcentral lists this long non-coding RNA (1452 nucleotides) under Capra hircus (goat). Its description in RNAcentral is "lncRNA (ENSCHIG00010015474.1)". The record is from RNAcentral. Lineage: Eukaryota; Metazoa; Chordata; Mammalia; Artiodactyla; Bovidae.